This 388-nucleotide ribosomal RNA is filed under the name uncultured bacterium. RNAcentral describes it as "partial 16S ribosomal RNA". It matches the Rfam family "Bacterial small subunit ribosomal RNA", at positions 523 to 918 of the family's 1533-position model. The record is from RNAcentral.
AUACAUAGGGGGCAAGCGUUAUCCGGAAUUAUUGGGCGUAAAGGGUGCGUAGGCGGUCUAUUAAGUCUGAGGUGUAAGUGCAGGGCUCAACCCUGUGAUGCUUUAGAAACUGGUAGACUUGAGUGAGAUAGAGGCAAGUGGAAUUCCAUGUGUAGCGGUAAAAUGCGUAAAUAUAUGGAGGAACACCAGUGGCGAAGGCGGCGUGCUGGGUCUAUACUGACGCUGAGGCACGAAAGCGUGGGGAGCAAACAGGAUUAGAUACCCUGGUAGUCCACGCCGUAAACGAUGAGUACUAAGUGUUGCGAGAACGCAGUGCUGAAGUUAACAUAUUAAGUACUCCGCCUGAGGAGUACGUACGCAAGUAUGAAACUCAAAUGAAUUGGCGGGG